This 396-nucleotide ribosomal RNA is filed under the name uncultured bacterium. Its description in RNAcentral is "partial 16S ribosomal RNA". It matches the Rfam family "Bacterial small subunit ribosomal RNA", at positions 338 to 731 of the family's 1533-position model. The record is from RNAcentral.
CCUACGGGAGGCAGCAGUGAGGAAUAUUGGUCAAUGGACGAAAGUCUGAACCAGCCAUGCCGCGUGCAGGAAGAAGGCUCUAUGAUUUGUAAACUGCUUUUUAACAAGGGUAAACCUGAAUACGUGUAUUAAUCUGAAAGUACUGUACGAAUAAGGAUAGUCUAACUCCUCGCCAGCAGCCGCGGGAAUUCGGAGGAUCCAACCGUUAUCCGGAUGUAUUGGGUUUAAAGGGUGCGUAGGCGGGUUGAUAAGGUAGAGGUGAAAUGUCCGGGCUCAACUCGGGGACUGCUUGUGAUACUGUGGAACUAGAGAUAAGGUGAGGUAGACGGAAUGUAUGGUGUAGCGGUGAAAUGCUUAGAGAUUAGGAAGAACACCGAUGGCGAAGGCAGCUUACUA